This 78-nucleotide non-coding RNA is filed under the name uncultured Sphingobacterium sp. RNAcentral describes it as "TPP riboswitch (THI element)". It matches the Rfam family "TPP riboswitch aptamer (THI element)", at positions 8 to 91 of the family's 105-position model. Rfam says of the family: Vitamin B(1) in its active form thiamin pyrophosphate (TPP) is an essential coenzyme that is synthesised by coupling of pyrimidine and thiazole moieties in bacteria. The previously detected thiamin-regulatory element, thi box was extended, resulting in a new, highly conserved RNA secondary structure, the THI element, which is widely distributed in eubacteria and also occurs in some archaea. Analysis of operon structures identified a large number of new candidate thiamin-regulated genes, mostly transporters, in various prokaryotic organisms. Lineage: Bacteria; Pseudomonadati; Bacteroidota; Sphingobacteriia; Sphingobacteriales; Sphingobacteriaceae. The record is from RNAcentral.
UUUAGGGGUGUCUGCGGGAUCGCAGGCUGAGAUUUACCCUUAGAACCUGAUCUAGAUCAUACUAGCGUAGGGAAAAGU